RNAcentral lists this long non-coding RNA (9858 nucleotides) under Homo sapiens (human). RNAcentral's name for it is "HSALNT0338950". Lineage: Eukaryota; Metazoa; Chordata; Mammalia; Primates; Hominidae. The record is from RNAcentral.
UGUCACCGGCCUCGCCUGCGCCCUGUCCCGUCCCACUGUCUCCUCUCCUCUCCACACCACCAGGGCCCCCGCCAGCUGCCAGGAGCCCCAGCACCAGCUGUGGGCGGGAUUCUGGCCGGGCAGCCUCCCUCUGGGAAUCAUCGGCCUAUUCCCUGGGUUCCUUCUUCCCUAAAGACAGUGCCUGGCCCCUGCUGUGGGCCAAACUGCCUGCACCCACCAGGUUUUGGGGUCUCAGGGUCACCUGCUUCCCCUCCCUAAUCCUGGCCUCUGCCCCACUUCUGGGAGACCCCUUUUUGAUCCCCAGCCCAACCUUGCUCAGGGACAGAACCACCCUCUGGGGUGCAGGGCUGGGCUGUGACACCUUGUUCUGCCUCCUGGGCUGUGCCCCUCCCCACAGGGGCCUCGCCAGGGCCAUGCCCGGCAUGGUGGGGAGGGGGCUAGCACCUCACAUCAGGGCAGGGCCAGUGUCCAUUGUGAGGUAAGGCGAUGAAGAUGAUGAUGCCCUCAGAAGUUGGCAAAGAGGCUGACACAGGCCAAAAGGGGUGCCAGGGGUGCAGGACGGGAGGUGGGUGUGAGGCACAGGUAACCUUGACCUUGAGGAAGGGGCAGUGGUGGCCGUGAACCUGCGAAUCCACGGAGAAGAAUCAGACGAGGGGCAGACAUGUUCGUGAACUUGCCUGAGUUCCCACGGCAACUAAGUGGUGGGGCCGGGGCCUAAGCCAAGGCAGCCUGGCCCCAUAGCCCCUGUGACUAACCACAUCCCACGUGGCUCACAGGACCUCCCUCUGCCAUGGGCAGGGGUACUGAUUGGCUUCAAAAACUCCUGGACAGCAGAUCGUGAGCGAUGGUUUUGGGUGCAGUCCCUCCCUCAGAACACCCUCCUCGACCCUGACAGGCCCGGCUUCCUCUGGGCACUGAGGAAACACCCGAUGGACUGAGUGUGGUGGGCUUGGCAGGUGCGUAACUCGAUGCCCUGCAUGCAAAUGGUGCCCGUGAGAAGCUGAACCUUCAUCUCACAGGCUGAUGGCUUUAAGGCCCCAGCUGUUCUUCUUCCAGCCGACAAGGCGUUUAAAGCACCUACUAUGUGCCAGACGCCACGCUAGGGCAUGGCACAGGGCAGAUGCACUGUCCAGCAAGUUCGCUGCCUUGUGUGUGCCUUCCAGCGUGCCUGGAGUCACAUCAAGAGACGCUCCCAAUAUUGGCCUCUGCCCCCUGAGAGCUUGCACUCACACACUUAGGCCCUGAGAGGGAAAGGGAUUUUCCCUGAGUUACACAGUGAGGUCAUCCCUCUCCAAGGUGACACCCCUGUAGCUCCCUGAAAACAUCAGGCCUGGUUGGGCAGCCAGGAGGAGGGUGAGUGAGUGAUCAGCCAUGUAACUGCCUCCCACCGGCUCUCCCUCCCCCAGUGCAAGUUGCUAAAUCUUUCUGUGCCUCUCAGCUACCUCACAGGGAUGAGAGAGCUCAUUACAGUAAUGCCAGACAGGUUUUAUCCAAUGUUUAAUUUUGCAAGUGCUGACACGUGUUUAUUUAAACAUGUUAUUAAACACAUAGAAAUACCAUGACGUGGAAAGUCUUCUGAUCAUUCUCAUUUUCCAGAAGAGGAAACUGAGGCACAGAGAGAGUGCAAGGGACACGUUGGUAAGGGACACAGCUGGGACCUGGGCCCAGGCAGGAUGGGUGUGGGGCUGCCUCUGUACCAGCGGAGCAUGCAAGGUCUGAGUUUGAGUUAAUGCUCACUAUUUAGUAAUCGUUACUUCAGACGAUAAUACAGUGAUGUUCUAUGUUACAUAAUAAAAGUAAGAGCUUACACUGUGGAAGAGAGAUCCAAGUACUAGGUGCGGGGGGUGGGGGGUGCUGGGGGGAGGAAGGGAUCCCACCACCGGAAGGGGAGAGAGGUGGUCUCCAGGGCCUGAGAUGCACUGGAAUAGGAAGGAGCUUUUAAGGAGCUCAGAAAGGCAUCACAACCUGCUGAGGUUCUUGGCACACAAGCUGGCGCAAAGAGCCAUCUGGUCUACCACCUGCCUGGUUAGAUGGGGCCCGGUUAUUGAAGGCGGUUUUCCAUUCAUUCAUGCCACAAACCUGCACGCUGGUUCCCUGGCUCAUGGCCUCGGUGUUCUCUGCUGUGCCUGGGUGGAGGCUGGGGACCCAUUCCUGAGGCUUGUUGGGGCAUAGCUGGCUGCCCCUUGCCCGCAGCUGUAUGGGCCUCCUGGCAGGCGUGAGCCAGCAGGCCUCUGGGAAAAUCAAGGGCAGGCAGAGGAAGCCUGGGGCCCACUGUGGAGACGUCUGCCCACCGGCUGUUCCCAUCUUCGUCUUCCCACUGGAGUAAGGGCAGAGGCCGUGGACUCCAUCCAGCCUGGGCCUGAGUGCAAGGAUAGUGGCUUCCCUGGGACAGGGAAAAUGGGCAGAGGGUGGGGUUUAAAAGGAGAGGUGUCUGGCUGGGACAUCUCCAGGCAGCAUCAGGCUCGCAAAGGACACUGUGCCAGAAUGCUGUCAGCUGAGUCUUAUUUCUGGGCUGAGAAAGGGGAACCCAGGACACGGAAUGCCGGGUGGCUGGGGCUGGGGUUUGCAGAGGAGAUGGUGGGGGAGGGUUUGCAGAGGUGAUGGUGGGGGAGGCCCCCACCUGAGUGCCAGUGGCUGGGGCUGGAGCUUGCAGAGGUGAUGGUGGGGGAGGGUUUGCAGAGGUGAUGGUGGGGGAGGCCCCUGCCUGAGUGCCAGUGGCUGGGGCUAGGGUUUGCAGAGGCGGUGUUGGGGGAGGGUUUGCAGAGGUGAUGGUGGGGAAGGGUUUGCAGAGGUGAUGGUAGGGGAGGCCCCCCACCUCCUAGCCAUUUGCUCCUGGCCUGAUCCCAGUGCUUCGAACCCCACCAUUUGGGGAGAUUCCUCUGGGCCCUGUUGUGUCUUUGGUUUUCAAGAAGAUGCCAAAGGUCUGCCAACAGAUCUGGAAAGGGCAGUGUCCUCACAGAAUCAGAGUCUGUGGCCCCAUCCAAACUCGGCUCCUCCUUCUGUCGGUUGAGGUAGGGAGGGAGGGCACUGCGGGGGCUGGGAGGCUUGGGGAACAACAGGGCCAUGUCUAAGACACAGGGGUCUCCAGGGGUGGGUGUGUCCAGAGGGCCCUGUCUGCGGAAGCGGGAAUUAGACGGGGCUGCCUAGCCCAGAGCCGGUCCUGUUGGUGGGCGGGGCCCUGUUGGUGGGCGAGGCCCUGUUGGUGGCUUGGGUCCUGUUGGUGGGCGGGGCCCUGUUGGUGGGCGGGGCCCUGUUGGUGGCUUGGGUCCUGUUGGUGGGCGGGGCCCUGUUGGUGGGCGGGGCCCUGUUGGUGGCUUGGGUCCUGUUGGUGGGCGGGGCCCUGUUGGUGGCUUGGGUCCUGUUGGUGGGCGGGGCCCUGUUGGUGGCUUGGGUCCUGUUGGUGGGCGGGGCCCUGUUGGUGGGCGGGGCCCUGUUGGUGGCUUGGGUCCUGUUGGUGGGCGGGGUCCUGUUGGUGGGCGGGGCCCUGUUGGUAACCCCUGGGGGUGGAGAUGGAGGCACUCAUUCAACCCCAGAUGUGAUUCAGGCACUCAGGCCCCUGGACAGCUCCGGGCUGGUCCCAGACACUCUUGGGGGCAAAAAAAGAGGAAGCUCACGUUUCCAGCCUCCUGUGCAUCCCAUCCUAAGAACCCCUGGAGUGUGGCUCCGCGGAGGUGAGAUUCUCAGGAAGAGAAAUGAGGGCAGAGGCCCAAGACCCUUCUGUCCAGGAUAGGAUGCCAGAGAGGUCACAGCUGAGGUCCACAAACCAAUCAAUGGGCGAGAGGGAAUCUGAACAAUCUGAACCAACACGGCCAGGGAGGGGGCCCUUCUGGAGUCCUAGAGUGGCUCCAUCAUUAACUUGAGUGUGACCGAGGACCUCAGCUUCCCCAGCCAGAACACAGAUGGGAGAGUCUCCAGGUGGGGUGACCGCACAUCCUGGUCCGCCCUACUGUCCCGAUGUCACUGCAAACGCCACCUCUUUGUACUCUCAGAAGUGCUCUGGUUUGGACACUAAGUUACAUGGUCGGUGUCUCUCUGGGCACCCUUUGCAUUCAAAGCAUGCUAAUGAUUUCCUCAUAUUUCAACUUUUAGCAAGAAAGGCUUUCGGCCAGGACCAAGGAGAGGGCCUGUGGAUAGGUCAGUCACCCCCAAUGCUACUUCCCAUUCUCCAGUCAGGCCCGCUGAGGGUGACCCACUCUCCCUUCUUCCCACAAGGUACUGCGGCCCCAGGGUGUCCAGAGGAAUGAGUGGCCAAGACCUUUUGUUGGUCCCUAUUCUCCUCUUCCUCCUUUACUAAUUGAACUCCAAAUUUAAGCUGGACCCACCUAAAUACUACAUUUCUAGCUUCCCUUGCACGUAGGACCACAUUCUAGCCAACGGGACGUGAGUGGAGUUGAAGUGUUCCACUGGUGAACGACUCCCUUAAAAGGAAUGGGCAUGCAUGCCCCUUGACAGCUGGGAUGCAGAUGUGAUGGUGGGAGCGGGAGCAGCCACUUUGGUUCCAGACAUGGAAACUGCAGGUGAUGGUGACAGAGCCACCCUACCAGCCCUGGGCCACUGACUUCUGGCUGUUUGUGAAAGAGAAAUAAACUUCUAUCUUAUUUAAACUACCGUUCUUCAACAGCUUGUCCUACCUAAUACAGAUGAGAGGCUUCUCGCUCAGAGGAGCAGAUUACAAGGGAGGGGGCCUGGCACAAUCUGGAGGUACUCUGCGCAUAGGGGGAAGGGAGGAGAAGCAGGACUACAACUUCCUCCUCCCCUGCGACCUGUCCCUGACAUGCCCACCCUGGCACCACAGCCCCACCCUGGCCAUCCCUAUAUGCUGCACAUGCCACGUGUGUUGGAGACGCCACUGUUUCUGCCAUCUCUCAUACCCGAAAGCACCCUGUGCCCCUCUAAGUUCCACACACUCUUCUUUCCUAGAAGGCCACUCUGAUCUGUCUGAUUCUCUGAGGUCUGCAUGCAUGCACCGUUCCUCUCUGGGAAGGUCAGGCUCCCCCAUGAACCACAUCCCCAGCCAGGCCUGGGCUCCCAGGGGCACAGCUAAGGCUCCAGCUCCCCCGGCACCUUCCUCUGAGUGGAGCACACAGUAGGACCGUAGCAUGUGCCUGCAGACUGGACACACUGCCUACCUCCACCUGCCCCUUCCUGGGUGUCCCAGAGUCUCAGCGUGUCAGCUGAGCAAGCCUGGAACUGCGGCCCACUGAGGUGCUCAUGGCAUCUCAGGGCCAUGCUGCAAGCGGCCAGGCCAGGAUACUCCAAUGUCCUGAGCAGCCUAAGCUAGGGCAGGCAGAGAGCCCCAUGGGCUGCUCCAGGUACCUGUGAUCUCCAUGCAGAGAACAGCAAGGCUGUGAUACUGGAGUGUGGGUGGCUCUCCUGAGCUCCGGCUCUGGGCAGAUGCACGGCCCCUGUCUGCCUCUAUUUCCUGCGUGCGGCGGCACCACUGAUGCCUAUCGCUCAGGGCUGUGGUGUUACGGAGAGGCUGCAUCAAGAAGGUGCUCAGUAAAUGUGUCCUUCUCCUUCCACGCCUUUCCCCCUCCUCCCUCCUGCAUGCUCUGGCAGAGAAGCAGCUCCUUGAGCUCUGGGCCACAUCUUUCCAGAUCAAAUCAUUGCUAUGAAAAAACAGCAGCCCUGUCUACUAAUUUCCCUCUGGCUCCCAUGCCCCAUGCCGGCUGCCUGCGCCCUGGCCCCUGCAGAUCCUCCUCUUCUCCCUACUCUCCUUCCUCUCCCCUCCCCCUCCAUGGCUGCCGUCAAGCCAGGCCUUGGUGCUGGCCUCCUCCCCAGGCCCUCCAGUUCCCCUGCACGCUCUCUGACCCACUUUAGCUGCUGGAAUCACAGUUUCCCGGGUGAGGCUGGGGGAGUGCGGCUGCAGUCCUGGCUGUGAGUCACUGGGGCUGAGUUUGCAGGGGGAGGGGACAGCUAUGACACGCAUGCAGCCCCAGGGGUCAUCACGUGACACGUAUGCACAGGGAUGCCUACACCUGUGUGUGCAGAAUGUGGAUAUCCUUGCACAUGCAGGGGACCUGGGGAUCACACCUGUGCAGGCAUGUAGCCGGGCCAGCCUGGGGCACACAAACACGCACGCACACACAGACAUACGCCCACGUCCAGCGGCAGGAAGGAAGGCAGCUAAGGCUCUGGAGGGAGGAUGGGGGAGAAAGACUCAGUGGCACCUGCCCAGAUGGCUCGCCGGGCACAUGCCAGGGCCCCAAGAGGGCUUCAGAAUUUACCCAGGCCGUCACCUCACCAGAUGCUGUGUGAGCCCCUGGGGCCUCCACAGCACACAACACGAUGACCCUAGACCCUCUGGCUGUGGGACCAGCAGGGAAACCUGGAAUUAGCUCAAGCCAAGGCUGGAUUGCAGGGUAGUAGGACCUCAGGGUGGGCAGAACCUUGGGGUGGGCAGGACCUUGGGGUGAGCAGGGGAUGGGAACACGUGGAAGAGGAGCAGGCACAGCUGAGAGGGCUCCUGGCUUCUCAUUUACUUACUCACAGACCCUCACCCCCAACUCACUGAGGAAGAGCACAGAGAGGUUACAUGACUUGCCUCUGUGUGCACAGCUGGUGAGCAAUGGCGCCCACAGUUAAACCUGGGCCUGGGACAGAUCCCUCCUGCUGGGUGCCAAACAGCAGGUCAGAGACCAGGGGUCAGAGGCCAGAGUUCAAAGUCGGGGGUAGGGUCUAUGAAGGGAGGAGGCCAGAGCUCAGGCUGAAAGACAAACUCUGCGGCAGGGAUGGGCAAACUGGGGCCGGAGGCAGCCUUCAGGAGCCCUGACCCAGGGGGAGGAGGGAAUCUCCAGGUCCUGCCCAGCGGGAGAGGCCAGAGGCAGGGGGCUGGGCAUCUGCAGCCACGCCUUCUGUCUGCUAAUUAAGUUACAGGAGUCACAGGAUGUAAAUUACAGGAGUCACAGGAUGUAAAUUACAGGAGGAAAUUAAAAGACAAAUGAAGAUCUAGGAGCAGAAGCUGGAUCCCUGCAGCCUGGCCUGCCUGCAGGAGGAGGCUGAUUGCAGCGGGGAAGGGGCUUUCUGGGAGGCAGAAGUGGGCAGGAGACCCAGGUGCUGGGGAGGGGAAAGGAAUAGCUCCCUUCUCAUCCAGGGUGGCCCACGGGGCGACUCCAUCCAGGCUGGGCUUGGGCAGUCCCAGGUGUGUGCAGAGGGGAGACAGGAUGGAGGCAGGGGGUGCCCUUGUGCCGGGCUCCUAUGAGGAGAAGCAGCCAGGUGUGGGGUGGAGGCGGAAGCAGGGAGAACCCAGGCUGGGGGAUGCCCCACAGUGGGCCGUGGCUCAUCUCACAAAUGCCAGCAUGCAGCCUUGUGAAUACCACCAGGACAAGGUCUAUUGCCUGGCAACUAGUAGGUGCCAAACAACUACUUGGCAAAUGAAUAAGACAUAUAGUAAGCACCAACCCAAAGGCAGCAGUGACUGCCGUGGGCAAGAGAACGGCUCUUCUCUGCCGUUGGCUGAGAAGCUUCCUUCUCAGGCUGUUGGCUGCUACCUUCCUAAUGACAAGGAACAGACUUAGCUGGUGUAUUCCCUUCUCCUUCACCUCUACCCCACUUCCCAGUUUCCUGCCUGGGAUGCAGAUACGAUGGCCAGAGGUGUGGCAGCCAUCCUGAGGCCAUGAGGACAAACGUCCGCAGUGGCAGAGCAGGAAGCUACAAGGAACCUGGACCAUUGACAACCCCCUUAGGCUGUGUACCAGCUCCACUGCUGCUGUCUUUGCGUAAGAAAAAUGACCCCCACGUGGGGUUCAACCAUGCAGUGUUUAGGUUUGUCUUGCGCAGCCAAAUUCAGUCCCUAGCUGACACAGCAUAAAAUACUACUGAAUCAUUUUAUGAGAAAGUUACUCUCACUUUAAAACUCUUGAUUACAACAAGAAGAAAGUCUCAGAUCAGGGUUGGUGAGUCUUGAACACCUCUGCACACUUACUGCUCUCCCUUUUUAAUAAAGCAAUAGUAGGCCUUGGGCUCUGAGCCUCCCCCGGGGCUACAGCAUCCAACUAGAAUUUAAUAACAUUGUUUUGUUUCCACUGAAUUUAUUUUUAUGAUUAUGAAUUCUAUUUAUGGCAAGAGAGGCUUGUUUUCCAUUUGUAGUAGUGCUAUAAAUCUUCCCUUUUAAAUAAAUGUAUUUAAGUUUUUAAAAACUGAAUGGAUUUAGAGGAAGGCGGUAGGCUUGAAGUCAGAGGUGGUGUGGGGGGUGGUGAACGGACAGCUCUGGUGGGGAUGCUGCCCAGCCCUGCACUGCUGCUUUGAAGGACAGUCUGUCCCGGGCAGGGGGAGCGGGCAGGGCUGGGGUGGUUAAGCCUGGCCCCUCCGCAUGCUGGGGGCUGAGCCUCUGUCGUGAGAGGGUUUGUUCCACCUGGAGACAGGCGAUGGGUUUCCCUUGGGGCUGGGGAAUCUCUAGAAGAUGCAACCUCAGAGGCGUAGGCUGGUCAACUGGGCGAUGAGCUGUGGGCUGUGACUUGAAGCUGACCUGGUCACUGAGCCACUAACUCAACGUCCCAGGUUCCUUCCAGCCCGCCCGUGUGAGGCAUGACUUCAAAUGCGGGGACUCGGGGAGCCGGCGUGACCUUUUGCUGAUUAGCUCGUGCUGUUUGCUCAGCAGCCGCCAGCUGAUCUCUGGACGGCGGCUCAACAUGCCAGCCACAGCCGCCUGUCACCCUCUGGCAGAUAAACAAUUGCUCCUGGAGAGGUGGGGGAGGGGAGCCGGGCGUGCGGCAGUGCUGGGGGAGUGGCACGCAGGGUGCGGGGAUUGGCGAGGUGGCCUUGGGCGAGUCGCUGGGAUGCCAGCCCUGCACUUGAGCAGCACCUCUGCUGGCAAGGACAUCGCCCCCCCCUCCCCAGAGAGGGAAACCGAGACCUACGGAGGGGAAGGGGCUUGCAGAGAGGGUCUGGGCUCACCUCCAUGGGCUCCCAGGCCCUGCUGCCUUCAACAGGCCUCUGCCUCCUAUCACAGCCACCGGCCUCUCUCCCUGGUGCUGAAGGAGUCCAGCCAAGGUCACCCAGGGUCACAGGAUACCAGAGAGCCCCUUCUAAACUCUCAAUCACUGCCUGGAUAAAAGCAACUUCUAGGGACCAGGCCUUGAACACAGGAAGUGGAGGGGAGGGGCAGGGGCUUUAGAAGCUGGGAAACUUCAACUCGCUGAGUGACAAAAGGAUGUCCCUAGAAGGGAUCUCGGAAACAAUGCGUCCCACCCCAAGUUCCUGAGGAAGACUCAGCGGAGCGGCUGCCUCCACCGUCAGACCGCACAGGAGCCAGGGCCCAUCUGUCUUGCCACCUGCCUUCUGAGGUGGGCCGGGCUGGGAAGCGUCCCAUCUACUCAUUCAACAAACAUUUAUGCACUGUCUCCCACCUGCCGGGCUCUGAGGCUCACAGCACAGAGUCUGCAGCCUGGGGCUGAAGCGAGAGAGAAGACAGAGAUUUCAUGCCUGGCGAGGACUCCGGAGGCUAUGGGGCUGGGGUGAUCCCACCAGGCUGUGGUGAGCCUGGAGGAGCCUGAACUUGGGCUGGGAUGGAAGGACAGAUAUCUGUGGGAGGAAGGAAAGAACUAACAUGGAUGCAGCAUCGGUGUUCCGGAGACUGCUGAGUUCCCACUCCAUGCUCAGGGCAGUACCCAGGGUGGUCGAAUGAGUAUCUACUUGAUGCCAGGCGGUCUACACAUCCCACUGAACGCUUCCCUCCUGAGGGGCCUUAUUUUCCCCAUUUUAUAGAUAAAAUGUGGGCAGGGACUUGAAGCUGUCCUGAUAAAAGAUAAGAGAUAAAAGAGGGACGCCAGAGGUAGAAGAUGACUUGCCCAGCAUUUCACAUCCAAAACCCAGCAGGGCAGAGCUUGUCUGACUUUUAAAAAGGAAAGAAAGCCUGGG